UGCAUGUCAAAGUUCAAAUUGCUUAUAAUAGUGAAACCGCGAACGGCUCAUUACAACAGCCAUAAUUUACUUGAUGUUGAUUUUCCACGUGGAUAACUGUGGUAAUUCUAGAGCUAAUACAUGCACCAAAGCUCCGAUCUCAUGACGAGCGCAUCUAUUAGACCAAAAACCAAUCGAGAAUAUUCGCCUCAAAACGAAUGCCUCGUAAAUUUGGUGACUCUGAAUAGCUUAGCUGAUCGCAUGGUCUCGCACCGGCGACGUAUCUAUCAAGUGUCUGCCUUAUCAACUUUCGAUGGUAGUUUAUAUGCCUACCAUGGUUGUAACGGGUAACGGAGAAUAAGGGUUCGACUCCGGAGAGGGAGCCUGAGAAACGGCUACCACAUCCAAGGA
Molecule: ribosomal RNA, 390 nt
Filed under: Procamallanus halitrophus
Lineage: Eukaryota; Metazoa; Nematoda; Chromadorea; Rhabditida; Camallanidae
Description: SSU rRNA
Rfam family: Eukaryotic small subunit ribosomal RNA
Source: RNAcentral